This is a long non-coding RNA of Mus musculus (house mouse), 7637 nucleotides long. RefSeq annotates it as predicted gene, 53401. The transcript is spliced from 2 exons. NCBI's taxonomy places the organism in Eukaryota, Metazoa, Chordata, Mammalia, Rodentia, Muridae. The record is from RefSeq and is a predicted model, not a curated record.
GUGCUGGGAUUAAAGGCGUGAGCCACCACACCCGGCUUGUUUUUUUGGUUUUUUUUUUUUUUUUUACACUUGGACGAGGAACUGAAGUAUCUCCCACUUAAUUACACAAUGGACAUUUCUCCAACGGACUUCAUGCUGCCUAGUGCAGAUGGAGGAAUUCAGAAACAGGGCCUCGAGCCAUGGAAGCUGGGUCAACCUACCUCACCCAUGUGAAGACCUGGCAUUCAACUCUUGGAGUGUGGUCUCCACCUGGACAACCUGAUAGUUCCAAUUGCUGCAAAGUUACAUUCCACAGACAGAAUAUUCCAACACAGCACAGCUAGCUUGAAAUUGAUAAGAUGGUACAAACUACAGCGACACUCUAAGCUGGGCAUUGAAGAUAUUCAAUUCUUGCCAGCUCUGAGGCUCCCACUGCCCUUCCCAUUUGCAGCCUCACCAGAGGUCAGCCUAUGCUGGAAUUGGGACUCAAAAGCGCAGGAGUCAGACUAUAAAACACCCUAGGGGUCACAGUGAACACAGUGGUACCAAGGAAGGAAACUGACCUUGGUUCCCAGUUUCCAAGACUUGCUCCACCCCACCCCCGCCCGCCUUCUCAGCCUUUCCCUCCCUCCCUUCCACCCUCCUUCCCCACUCCCUUUCUCAGGUCCUUCUCAAGGCCAGGGCUUGGGUCUCUGACCCUUGACCCAGCUUGUGUCGACGAUGCCUUGUUGGGAGCCAGCAACACCUCUCUUCACUGAAGGCAAAGCUUGGGCAGUUCUGUGCUGUUGCGCAUUGGACUCGGGCCUUGGGAGAGAAUUCAUUUUCAAACCACAAAGCAAAGGAUGAUAGUAGAGAGCGGCUAUGAGGGAAAGAGAGUCGGUGCUUGGCCUCCAGGGUCUGGAGCAGCUCCUGUGUCAAAGGAAUCAACCCUGUCCCUCCUCGCACUGCACUGCUUCCAUGGAAGGUGCCAGUUAGUGCCUUCUCUGCCAUCCCACACAGUUCUCACCAAGCCAUAAGAUGAGCGUGCUCUCCGUGACCAAGUCCAGCACACUGGCACCCCCUUUCCAGAGCAGAGCCGGCAUGCAUACAGGAAUCUGGUCCUCACUGCAUGGCCUUGGACAGAGGGGGCUAGUGGGGAAACCUCGGGAAUCUCCUCCUCCAGGAGUUGGCAUCGACCUGAAGAUGAGAGAUCACUGAGUCAAAGUCAGUGCCAGAGGAGCCUGGUGCAGGAGCCCUGCGGAAAAAAAUGGUGGGAUGAAGGACAGAGGUGCACCGGAUGAUCUGUGUGGUGCUGAGUUCAGCUGCGCUGGUCCCACCUCAGGGGUCAUCGUUCUCCAACUCUGCCAUGUAAUGAUCGACAUUUAAGUAAUAAUCCUGAAACUCGAGACUCAGAUGCAGUUACCCUGUGUGGCAAAGCAGAGCUAAGGUUUCGGUCACUGCUGAAAUCAUAGCUGGUAUCCACUCUGGGAACAGCUUCAGUACUUUAAGGAAUCCCAGACAGCUGAGGGCCAUGCUUGGCUGGCUGGGCUGAUUGUGGUCUGACUCUCACCUAUGAUAAUAAAGGGCCCUCACUGUAGAUUAACUGACCUCGGGUCUACCAUUUCAAACUCAGAGCUGAGCCUGCACCAAAAUGAGCAGAUGACAGCCAUUCUUCCGAAUGCACUGAUUAAUAGCUCGUGAAACCGAGGAUGGCAAAUCGGGCUUUUUAUCCACACCAGACUGACCCUUGGAAGGGACACAAAACACUAUCCACUGGCAGUUUCGCCACUGUUCCACAGAUAACCUGACAAGCCUAAUAAAGUGGCGGGUGUGUGGCUCCCAGUCUGUGCAGACAGAUGCAAAAGCAGGCCACAGCAAGGCUACAAUGUAAGACCCCGACCCUCCUCUGUCAGUGGUACUUAACUUCGAAAUGCAGAUCGAUGCAAAAGCAAGAGGUUUAUUUUCUGGCACACCAGGAGUCGACCUUCAACUAGUCCCUCAAGGCAGGUGACUAGAAGGCGACCCCAAAUGGCUAUUACAAGCAGUUUUUAUACUUUUGAGGGGCACAGGUUACAUCAGCAAGGUUACAGUUCAAACUCAUUGGCUAAGCAUAUUGACCUUUAAAUCUAUUGACUAGCAAGCAUGACACACAUUUGAACUCUACCUGGAACUUUCCAGAGGGUCGGGUAACUAUGUCAGUACAUUCUGAGAAUUUUUUUUACUCAAGAAUGUUCCUGUGGGUGGACAAUGGAACUUGGCCUAGCCUUGACUCCAAGUGGGAGGGGGAAGCCGUAAGGUGGGUGUGAAACUGGAAAACCCCUCAGGGUCCAUCAGGAUGAAGUAAGUCAAAUUGCCACUGUUGGCCCAGCUUUGCAACCGAGAAUUCAAAAGGCUGUUACCAUCGAUGUGUGCCCCUGGUGUUGACUCGGUGAGAACAGGCUUGGUACACCCUUGUUUUCUGAAAGGAUCGGUCCCAUGCUCCUAAGGGUCCCAUGCUUCCAAAGGUUUGCUCAACAGGCCCCACCACCGAGGAGGGUUGCAAGUGACACUCAGGGGCCCUAGUGUACUGGCAGGACUGGAGGCAGAUGACACAUGCAUUAGACUGUCUGUUCUGUGGAUCUUCCCGAGUACACAGACUGUCAUUUCCAGCUGCCUCCGGUGCCAAGCAAACCACUCUUCAGAUAUUGACCGAAUCGAGACGGAAGGUCACGGCCAUUGGCCAUUGCCGGCAGCAGGCCAGCCCUUCUGGAAACUCUGGAUUUUGAGAGACUGUCUGCAAUGUUCACUUUGCUCACUCAGGAGACUCACACCCCACAACUACUGCCUUCUCUAUCUAGGAUCUCCCGGGGACUGAGUCCAGCUAACACUAGCACUAUCCAGGACCCAUGGACUAGCUGAAAUCCUGAGCCCAGAACAAAGCCUUGAGGCUCAAGUCACCAACAUCAGAGAGGCACCCAUGAGACAAUGGCCUCUGCUCCUGCUCUCCUCAGAGUGACAUCGCAAGGAGGCGUGGGAAGGAUGGACUAUGAAUCCCUGACGGCAGAUCCUUAGUGUGUACUGUGUUCAUCACUGGUAUGAAAUAAAUCCUUGGUUGAGUCUGUAGUUCCCAGCCAAGGAACACUGAGAGGGUGGACUUGGUGCAGGAAAAAUAAAAUAGCAUAAGUGUCUGUGCAAUAAACACCGAUGCAGCACCAGACCUGGUCAGCACUUGCCAAAAGAGCAGGUGCAGCGGCACGUGCCCGACUCUCAGCAGGCUGAGCUUGCAGCUCAAGAUACACAGCAAGGUCAAGGAACCCACGUUAUGUUGCAGUUCCCUUCUAGAAAGAAAGAGAGCGAUUGAGAGCAAGAGAGACAGACAGACAGAGAGGAUGAGGUGGGGGAGGGAGGGAGAGAGAGAGUCAGAAGAGCCAAAUCAAGAUACCUUUUAAACUUGAUCCAACGUUGGUAGCCCACUAUAGAUAAGGACACUAGAAAGGCAUGAGGACCUUAAGGUGUGGGAAGACUUAAAAGCUCUUUUGAGUAGAUGUGCUAUAGAUUCUUGUUUUCAUCAGUUCUGAUUAUAAUUUUAUAACAUGCAUUUACUGGGCUGUGUCUCAGGGAUACUAAUAUGCUAAUUUUAAGUCACUUAUUUCUGCUCACAUGUAUGAAACUCAACUUCUUCGUGCAUUUUAUAACUGGAUUUUCCCACACAAGAAGACUAACAUAUGUGGCACCUACCUUAUUUUAUUACUAUGCCUAAUGAAAAAUGCUCUAUCAUUUUGGGGGUAUUUUGAACUUCAAACACAGGUUCUCUAAGUAAUGCAUUAAUUAUGCAUCAGUUAACAUAUAAAAGUGGCUUCGGAUUUCACCCCUUGUCACCUCACUUUGAACAAAAACUAGAGAUGAAAUAAAAACAAAUCGUUUAACUGAGUUAUAGCUGGGUACUAGGGACACACAACAAUCAUCGAAUAUUUCAUUCACCUGUGGGAGCAGGGCAGAGGAUCCGGGUGACACCCUGGGGUGAUGUCGGGUGUCACCCGUGGCAGUUGGUUCACAUCCAAGUUCCUUUUAUCCGGGUGCUCACCCUGCUGUCCUGAAAGCAAGUACUGAAACCUCUUGUGUGUGUGUUUUUAUCCUGAAUGUCAUGAGCAUAAAGUUUAUACCUCUCGUGGAUUGAGGAGGCUAAACCUGGCCCAUCCUUCCAGCCCAGCCCUGCCCUGCCCCCUUUCCUGACUGAAACAAACUAAGUUAGAAGAGGGGUGGGGGCAGUGUGGGAGGGAAGGGAUAAAUUUCUAAGAAGGAAUGAGUUUCCACUUUAAGAAAAGUGGCUCGUUUUGUACAUCUCUUGGUAUUAGCCAUUUAAACAGAUUGAGUUUCGUUCACACAAUGUAGUGUCUUCGUGACCGUCAGGGAAAACCUACUUCCACUGCACCGAGAGGCCUGGAGGCCUGUGGCUUGGCAGAGCCCUUCCUCAGCAUCCACCAACCCAAGAAUGCCACCCUGGUUUGAUGCUCAGCCCUUGUGCAUCCUAGGCCUCACUGACCUCAUCCGAGGAAACCUCUCUCCUCCUUCUGAGGUCACUUUCUGUCUCCCCAUUUGCACAGACAGACAGGACUUGUGUGGACUUAAAGAGCCGGGCUGUGUGGCAGCAGGGCAGCAGGAGAUGCUUGGAACUGAGUUAGGCUGCUUCAUCAGUGGACUCUGUUGGCUCAGCACCAGCCAUGGAUCUCACUCCUCACCCUUUACCCCUUCUGAGCAUUGUCCUCCAUGCCUGAAUUCUCUCACCAGUCUCCCCUCCUUCCCUCUGUCCCCCUAUAGCAGGGCCACCUUCAGCUUACAAUGCUGGUUUCUCUCCAUACCCCAUCUCCCCCCCUCCCCAUGUCUCAGUGGACUACACAUCUGUGUCUGCAUGAACCUCGAAAACAAGUGGUCCCUGAGGUUCUGCCUCCAGCCCUCACGUUCCCAGUUCUGUUCAUGGGUCUUCCUCAGAUGUCCUCCAACAGCGUCGAUGAUGUCACCCACAGCAUCCAUGAUAUUCCCCAACAGCAUCCAUGAUGUCCCCUGACAGCAUCCAUGAUGUCCCCUGACAGCAUCCAUGAUGUCCCCUGACAGCAUCCAUGAUGUCCCCGACAGCAUGCUGGUUUCUUUCCUUGCACAGCCGCUUCCUGAAUCAGUCACCUUAACUCUGCUACAUGCUGGCACGCCCUGCUUCAAGUCUUUCUUUCCCACACUCUGCCCUAUCAACAAAUUGAUACCAAACUUUUUCAACCACAUCCCUGGAAUGCACUCAGAAUUAAUCUUGGCUGCCUCCCAGUUACCUUGGGUCUGCUCCGACCCCAACUUCAAGGGCAUCAGCCUUGAUUUCUUUUAAACCCAGAGCUUGUGUCUCUGUCUCCAGGCAAAUGUCUCUUAUCUCACCCAUCCCUGCAGACACUGGCAUUCCUCGGGGCUAUGCACUUGUUCCUUAAAAAAAGAGACAGCUCAGAUUCCUUAGAGAAGGGGAAAAAAUUCCUAAGUGCUCAGUAUGGGGAAUUGAGAACUGUUCUCCCUGUGAUGGGGAAACAUUCUGUCCUGAUGUUAGUACCAUGCAGCCUGGGAAACUCUAGCUUGGGGUGGUGGUGGUGGUGCGCAUGCUCAGUGCAAUGACAGAUGAGUUGUCCACACCCUGGUCUCCAUGUUCCAUGCCCAAAAGCCCUCAAUUAAGUUCUUUCAAUAGGAAGACUGAAGAGUGUCUGUCAUCCAUUGGCCACUUCAUCAUGAAACAUGCCCCAACUUAAAAUCCACGUCCUCUCUGACAGCCUGAUUAUUCUCCCUGAGAACACUCCACGAACCUCUCAAAUCUGUUCAUUUAGAAUUCCUGGUAUAAUGUUGGAUAAUUCAUCUAGAUUUGCACACAUGAAUCUCUUUUCCCUGGGCAAAGAAGACUCACUGCAUCUUCCUUCACUUCUCAGAGCUCUCAUAUGGCCCAGCGUGUCUACUCAGAAGAAAAUGCAAACGGAAGUCUAUGUAUGCGAACAUGUCUGCACAAGAAGGAAGCCAGGCAGAAAUAUACGAGCCAUCAUCACAUUGAGCACCGAGCUACAGAAAUAUCUGAAAAAGUAGCAGAAACUGUCAGGGCUAGUUUCACCAGAAGGCUUGAAUCGGCAAGGGCUUGUAGCACCCAGGCCAUGUGAAGGUGUGGAAACAGCUAGGGGUUUUAGCUACUGAACUCACAGAGAUGGAGAAUAGAAUGGGAGUGUCGGAGCCUAGGAGAGAGGAGUGAGGAGUUUGUGUUCCUCAGGAAUGGGAAGAAGUCCUGGCAAUGAUGGGGAGUGAGAAACAUCCUAGAACUGCAAAGCCACUCAACUGUUUGCAGCUCCACAGAUUUGCACAUCAACAGCUUAGACAGUCCGAGGACACACAGGAAAAAGAUACAAGCUCAGUCCCUUCCACGGCUCUCACAGCAGUCUUUGGACAACUGUGUGGGUUUCCCUACACAUCAAUCCAGUAGUCAGUUCUUGGCAAAGUCCUGCAAGGCAGCCUCCAAUAUCAUUCAAUUUGGAUUUGAUUCUUCCAGGAAGCAAAGGCGGACACCACAGAGCAGGGCUGGGGCCUCCAGAUGGCCUCUGCUUCGGGACCAAUUUCAAAUCCCAGCGUCCAGAACUUACCACCUAUCAGUUAGGGAUUACACACACACACACACACACACACACCCCUUUGGCUCUGAUUAAUCUGCUAGCCCUGCUCACAGAACUCAGGGAAACAUGUUUCCUAAUUUAUUAUGAAGAGCACUCUAAAGGAUAUAAAUAAAACAUCUCAUGCAGGCCUCCAUCUAGAAGGGUCCUAAGGACAGGUGCUUCUAUCCCCCAGGGAUUGAGGGUCUGACUGCUACAUGAGUAAAAUCUUACUCACCUCCUGGGAGCCUCCAUGUGUUUGUUACCCAGAUCUUUCUAGAUACUCCAUUGAGGUCAGGUCACAGAUAGAUGUGUAGAAAGGUUAUUGUACAAAAGGGUUUGACUUCAGUCCAACUGAGUGGCGAGAGAGUCCUGUGUGCUCAGACUCGUGACCUCUGCACGUGUCUCCAUCCUCAGAGCUAGGCAGGAGCCUGUGGAAUGGGGUCCUAGGAUAUGCUAUCAUUUCCAAGUAGGUCAGAAAACAUCUUUAUGGCUGGUCCCAAGCCAGAGGCAGGAUAAACCAGAGCAUGUCACUGUGACCCGCCCUCAGAAGAGACCAUCAGUGAAAAGAUGAGAAGGGAGGACUUUUGCUUUCUGGGACGUGGAUGCUCCAAGCAUGAUCACAACACACUUUUGCCUGGAUCCCUUAGCCUUCCAGAGGUGCUUCAGCUUUCACAACAGAUGCACUGAUUGUUCUAGCCACUUAGCCAAUAGCCAUAGCCAAGGGGACCUCGGACAAAACCCAACACAUAUACAUAUAUACUUGUUGGGAGCCGACACUUAGCAGAAAGUGGCUGUCAUCUCUGCAGCCAUCUCAGGCUAUUUACUUACAGGUGGUCUUUUCCACCCUGACGAGAGACUUGGUUUCCUACCAUGAUGUUUUUGCAAGAAGCCCACCACAGCUGAACACACUGAUAACAUCUGGUUUUUCUCCUACACAUCCUGGAGCUGUGGUUAAGUGUCUCCAGCUGCACUCCCCAGCAAGUGCAUGCAUACCUGUAGUUGCCUUUCAAUAAAGGAGACCGAGACUUGAGACUUGAGCAGAUA